RNAcentral lists this ribosomal RNA (483 nucleotides) under uncultured bacterium. RNAcentral's name for it is "partial 16S ribosomal RNA". It matches the Rfam family "Bacterial small subunit ribosomal RNA", at positions 30 to 506 of the family's 1533-position model. The record is from RNAcentral.
AUUGAACGCUGGCGGCAGGCCUAACACACGCAAGUCGAGCGGAUGAAGGGAGCUUGCUCCUGGAUUCAGCGGCGGACGGGUGAGUAAUGCCUAGGAAUCUGCCUGGUAGCGGGGGAUAACGUCCGGAAACGGGCGCUAAUACCGCAUACGUCCUGAGGGAGAAAGUGGGGGAUCUUCGGACCUCACGCUAUCAGAUGAGCCUAGGUCGGAUUAGCUAGUUGGUGGGGUAAAGGCCUACCAAGGCGACGAUCCGUAACUGGUCUGAGAGGAUGAUCAGUCACACUGGAACUGAGACACGGUCCAGACUCCUACGGGAGGCAGCAGUGGGGAAUAUUGGACAAUGGGCGAAAGCCUGAUCCAGCCAUGCCGCGUGUGUGAAGAAGGUCUUCGGAUUGUAAAGCACUUUAAGUUGGGAGGAAGGGCAGUAAGUUAAUACCUUGCUGUUUGGACGUUACCAACAGAAUAAGCACCGGCUAACUUCGU